UGCUCAAUUUGGCAGCAAUAUACUAAAGUUGGAACAAUCAGAGAACAUUAGCAUGGUACCUGCACAAGGAUGACACACAAAUUGUGAAGUGUUCCAUAUUUUU
Molecule: small nuclear RNA, 103 nt
Organism: Equus asinus (donkey)
Lineage: Eukaryota; Metazoa; Chordata; Mammalia; Perissodactyla; Equidae
Source: Ensembl